Long non-coding RNA from Polypterus senegalus (gray bichir), 5329 nucleotides. RefSeq lists it as uncharacterized. The transcript is spliced from 2 exons. The record is from RefSeq and is a predicted model, not a curated record. Lineage: Eukaryota; Metazoa; Chordata; Cladistia; Polypteriformes; Polypteridae.
UAUUACUCUAUGGUUGUGAAAGUUGUUAAAAUUGUUCAUAGUGGGGAUAGGCUGCUUGUUAGAUGAACCAGGAAUUUCUAGUUUUUUCAAUUGGCUUCUAUUAAAUUUAUUAUGCUAUAUAUCUCUCAGUGCCCAUCUCCAUGCUAACAUUUCAGUUGCUUUCUCCAUAUUACAAAUCUUUCCACUUCUGUCCUUUCUGCAUUACUCCACUGGAUCACUCUCUAUGCCUUUUCUCCAAUUUCUCUUGUCUCUUUCUGCUUGCACGUAAGCAGAUGGCUCCUGAGGAUGACACUCAGAACCAAGAGGGUAAUAAAGAAAACAAGCCAAAGAGUGGAGGAGGAGGAGGCAGACGAAGAGGAGGCCAGAGGCAUAAAGGAAAGUCAAUGAGCAGCUCGACGGCACCGACAUCUAGUGGUGGAGGCAGCUAAACAGAAACCUUUAUUGCUCCUUUCCUGAAUGUAGGGGAGUUGCUUUUUAUUAAGUAGCACUAAGUACAAUGCCAGGCUGCUGUGAUGCAUUUUUCUCAGGAAUGCUGGUGUUCCCCAGGGUUUCUUUCUCUCUUAAUUUCGUUCACAAUGGCAACAGCCAUGUUGGUGGAUGAUUACACUGCUAUUCAUGCUUUCAGACCUGUGGGAAAGAUUUUCAGUAAGGGGCCUUUCUGACAAUGUGUAGUGUGAUGCAUGAUGGAAAAUGCCUCUCUCGUUUAUUUUUUAGAAAAUCCCCAAAAACUACAACGUUAUAAAAAUAGUCCGUUGUUGAAGAUUUUUAAAUUGUGGAGUAAUGAAAAAUAAAACUAAAACCAGUUUUAAAUCGGCUUAGUUGAUAAAUCCAAUAAUGGACAAAAUAUAAAUGCUUACUUUGUUAUUCCACAAAAUAUACAAUGACUCCGUAGUACACAAUAUAUUGCUAUACAGCCUAAAUUCAGAUUAGAACGUGACAGUUUUUUAUGUUUUUUUUUUUUAAUAUAUAUAUUUUUUCCUUUCACUUUAGUCCAGCAUAAAAUUGUAGGGAUGAGGAAACCUUUACACUUAACAUAUUUUUGUGUAAAAUGUUUUCAUAAGCGAUUCAGCAAGGAAAAAUUGCCAGACUAGUCACGUAUUCCAUAAACCAAGUGCACAAAAAGAUACGUCGCCACUUUGGAAGCACAAAUAGCAUUAAUGUGGCUAUCUCAUGUUCCUCUGUUAAGCUUACUAACGCUGUCCACCUCAAAAGUGAUUCUGUUCUAGGAAUGUUUUUGUAAUUUCAGUGUACUUGAUUUUGUUACAGAGAAUGGUUUAAACUAUUUGUCAAUGAAAGGGAAUAAUGGUGGGCUGUGAGCUUAUAGAAUCCCUAUGGAAAAUAAUUUUGAUCAAGGCUAAAUUAUGAAAAUGAGACAAAAGCACUUUAAACGGACUACAUAAUUUGUCUACCGAAUUUUAAAAAAUCAAUUUUUUAUAGAGCAUGUUUCUUUUAUAGCUUUGAAUUCACUUACUGAUUAAAGAUUCCUCUAGUCUACUAUUAGAGCACCAGAUACAGAGACUCUCAAUGGAGGGGAAAACCUAAAAGAUUAAAGAGAUGGGUUACUUCUACGGUCUGCGUACACCUUUCAAUGGAUGUCUUGUUCUGUUUUAUUAGACUGUAUUGUGGAACUCCAGUGUAGUCUAAUCCUCAUGCUGGUUAACCAGAAACAUGAGGAACAGCCCUUUUAUUUUUGUGGAAUAAAUACAGUGGUCCAUCUGACCUUGCACCGUGAAAUGUACAAGGUUUUGUUUUAGUGAUUUUUUUUUUUUUCUCUCUUUUAAACAAUGUGUUUGAUUAACAUGUCCUUUUAAUUGCACAUUUUUUUUUUGUAAGAAAACCUGCACAGUCAUUCACUGUGAACAUUGCUUAGUUAUUCCAUGGCUUGUGACGUGUAGCCCGUCCAUGUGUAUUGAAUUGAGUUUUGAUCUUGCAUUUUAAGUGUGGAGUACAGUAAAUCAUCCUUUGGCUGGGAAUCAUGGGUAACGUCAAGCCUUCCUGAGGGGCCAUGGUGGUAAUUCUAGGAGUUGAAGGCCGCUGUGUGUGAGCACUUUAGAAAUUCUCCCUCAGCUGUCCAGAAAUGAUAAAACUGGACCAGUCCACUUGGGUUAUGAUGAGAGAAUGAGGGCCCAGUGACCAGCUCGCUGUACUAAGUGCUACUGAAAUAACAUAAAAGCAGCAAGAGUUCUUUUGGUUUUGUUUUCUAUUUUUAUUGUCAGAAUCUGACCAGUAGCAAAAAAAAAAAAAAACUUAAAAAUGAAAAUGAAGUAGUUUAGGGGUGAGAUUUGUUUGAAAUUAUUUGUCAAAUUACUGCACCAAAAAAGAAGAAGAAAAAAAUCUGAAAAGUUGUACAGUAUAUGUUUUUGGGUCUAAUUAUUUUCCAGAGCUUUUUUUUCAGACCAGUAGACAAAUGCUAAAAAAGUACAUAAAAAAAGUUUAAAAUAUGCAUAGAAAAAAACAAUAAUGCCACUUUGUUUUCUGUUUUUAAAUGUAGCUACAAGUUAAUUUUUUCUGGCACACAAGACGUUUAUGUAUGAAGAAGAAACAAAUGUGCUCUGCUGUAUAUGAUUUCUUCUUGACUAAUACUUGUAGUUAUAUUUAAAAAAAAAAAAAAAAACAAUGAAUGAAAACUGAAUUCAAUCUGUAGUUGAGUGUUCUUUUUUUCCUGAUCUGUGUUUCAUCACUUCUUCAUCUGAACAGGAAAACAUCUUUUUGAUUUUUUUUUUCAUAUCCGAAAAAAAAAAAAAACAAGACUAUAACUGAACUUUAAAUAUUAUUUUUUUUCUACGUUUCUUACAUCCUAUAGCUGAAAUUCACAAUUAACAUUCACAUCAAGGAAAUAGUAAGUCUGUUUUUUAUUUAUUUACCAGUCAGACAUUAAUGUCCAAUAAACUUGAUGAAUGGCUAAAAAAAAGCCAACUUUUUGUUUUUCAUAUUUGUAGGACAUCUCCAAAUUCAACAGACAGUAAAAUAUUCUGUUUUUAUUUUUUAUUGUUUAGAAAGGUUUGCAAAAAUCAACAGUACCUGAUCUUGCUAUUACUUUCUCUUCACCCAGUGCUGGGCUUUCUCAGGACAGUCUCCUUAAUCUUGAUAGACUGGUUGCAGAGUGUAACGUUGUGCUGCUUUUGUGUGUUUGUGUGUGUGGUUGGCAGUGAAGGCAAUGGAAAUGGGCAGCAUGGCACUGCUCAGAUGUAUUUGUAAUUUCCAAGGUACUGCCCUGUACCAUUCUUUUGUAAGGAAUCUGGAUUUAAGGACCUGAAAUAGAAGGAUAUCACAGACAUUAAAACUUGGUAAGGGAACAAUCUGUGUUACAGGUUCAGAAUUAGCAAUAUCCUAUGACAAGCCGAAUUAACAUGUAGUGAUAUCUCUUUAUUAUAUAUAAAAAAAAAUAAAAAGAAAACUGCUGAAGUGAAAGUAAUGUAAUGUAGGUGCAUAAGAACGUACAUGUAUACACGUGUAUGGCUGCACUCAUACUUUUUACUUUGUAGUAUAUAAAUUAUAAUCACUAAAUGUAUUCUGAUUAUUCAGUAUGAUAUAAUAUGUAUAAUCUAUCAUAGUAAAAAGAAUGAAAAUAUUUAGAUAAGAAGAAAAAUAUUAGUAAUAAAAAAAGAGGUGGAAUAGCGGUAAACAUGUUAUAUUGUAACUGAUACAUGUUGCAAACACAAAUACUAUACCAAGCCCUCGGCCAUUGCUGCCGUUCAUUCGUCUUUGCAUUCCACAUAUACGCUAUUUGACUUCUGCAUUUCGAGUGCUCAUUUAAUAUUUCAAUGGUUGCUGGAAUCAGUUUUUUUUUUUUUAGCUCUGAUUCCGAUUUCUCUGGAAACGUAAAGACAUGGAGUCGAUUGUUACUUUUAAAUCUGAGCGGAAACAGAAGACUGUGUUUGAGUUCAGCUCUGCACAGGCACCGUUUAAAUGCGGUAGAACUAGGCCCACUUUGCAGGAGUCGUUGGAAGGAAAUUAAGGAGUGUAUGGAUUUGGCCGGUUUCAAGUAUGAUCUCCUUCUGUUUGAGGUGUUUUCUUUAUCCCAUAGUUUAUUAAACAUCACUGUUAAACUUCUAGACUUUGAGGGAUUCAGUCUUUACAGGAAGUAAGCAAGAUCUGGUAUCUUUUUUUUCAUUUAUAAAAAAGAUAUACUGCUAAAAAUGUUACUAGGUUGGGGGUGCCUUCUAACAUUUAGAGAUAUCUGACAAUGCAGUCUACUUUUUAAGAUAUUUGAGACCUGUUUCUCUCUUUUUUUAUAUUUUAAAAUAUCUGAAAUGCAUUUUCAGACAUCUCAAAUUGACCCUGCAUGUAUUUUCAGCUAUCUGAAAUGCAUUUCGUGAUAGCUGAAAAUCACUUCCUAUAAAAUGUCAUACUCACUGUAAGUCUCAUUGAAAGAAUAUUUUAAAAUACAUUUGAAACGCAUUUCAACAAUGUUAAAAUGAGCAGAGGAUAAUUCUAGAGAUAUCUUGACCUGCAUUUCAGGUGGCUGAAAAUGAACAGGAAGCUAUUUUUGAGAACUAAAAAUGUGUGUUGUAGAUGCCUAAAAAUGAUUAGAUAUCAUGGAAUAGUUUAAUUUGUUUUUAAAUGUAUCUUUAAACUUGUACAAGAUAUCUUAAAAUAAUAUUGAGGGUGUCCUGAAAGACAUUUUUAGAUAUCAUGAAAUGGGUUUGAGAUCGAAGAAUGUUUAUAGAUAUCUUCAUUUUGAUGAAUAUGCUUUCUGUCCAUGUUCACGUAUGUGAAAUACAUUUCAAGAUAUCUCAAACUAACCUCCUGCUCAGUUUAACAUAUCUGAAAGUCUCACUGAAUAUACUGGCAGUUUUGCAGGAAGUCAUUUUGAGAGAUGACUUCACAUGAAUAGUGCGUCAUUCCGAGAUUUCUUGAAAUCUUUACAUAUUUUGAGGUAUCUCUGAAUGUUGAUUUGGCUUGCUUAUUGCAUCCCAGUAACAUAGUAGAUGCUGUUUACAUUUUCAGUUCCUCUUGGAAGUCUGUUACCAAUUCUGUGAUUUUCUGACCUGAAUCCAUCCUCCUCUUGAGAGCUAUACUAUUCAGUAACAAAAUACAGGGCGGGCCAACAGUAGGUAAUGCAGUAUUUACUAAUCUUUACCUAUAAACUUCUUUUUUUGGGGGCCAGUAAAUGAGAAGGAUUUUGAGAGGAAGGUCCACACAGUACAUAAAUCGAAGGAGUACAUCUCGCAGGUAUUUAUGGAUAUUGAUGCUCAGCAGAAUUUGUGUGUCACAGUGUGGGGGACAGGGACCAGGAAUGUUGAUGGGAGGACAUUUUGAGCACCUAAGAGACUAAAGACCCCAAACAGUACUGAACAAUGGCUGACCCUGUGCGCGGACCUCUUAA